AAAGCGGAAUCCAAAAAGCUAAAAGAGUAGGAA
RNAcentral lists this non-coding RNA (33 nucleotides) under unclassified sequences. RNAcentral describes it as "DUF805b RNA". It matches the Rfam family "DUF805b RNA". From Rfam's summary of the family: Bacteroidetes, Chlorobi (1 example), Proteobacteria. Lineage (Flavobacteria) The record is from RNAcentral.